Molecule: ribosomal RNA, 468 nt
Filed under: uncultured bacterium
Lineage: Bacteria
Description: partial 16S ribosomal RNA
Rfam family: Bacterial small subunit ribosomal RNA
Source: RNAcentral
GACGAACGCUGGCGGCGUGCUUAACACAUGCAAGUCGAACGGAAAGGCCCUGCUUUUGUGGGGUGCUCGAGUGGCGAACGGGUGAGUAACACGUGAGUAACCUGCCCUUGACUUUGGUAUAACUUCAGGAAACUGGGGCUAAUACCGGAUAGGAGCUCCUGCUGCUUGGGGGGGGUUGGAAAGUUUCGGCGGUUGGGGAUGGACUCGCGGCUUAUCAGCUUGUUGGUGGGGUAGUGGCUUACCAAGGCUUUGACGGGUAGCCGGCCUGAGAGGGUGACCGGCCACAUUGGGACUGAGAUACGGCCCAGACUCCUACGGGAGGCAGCAGUGGGGAAUAUUGCACAAUGGGCGGAAGCCUGAUGCAGCAACGCCGCGUGCGGGAUGACGGCCUUCGGGUUGUAAACCGCUUUCGCCUGUGACGAAGCGUGAGUGACGGUAAUGGGUAAAGAAGCACCGGCUAACUACGUG